UUUUGUGUAGGAAACCGAAACGUUAGACAAAACUUAUUUAAUUUUACUCACAAACUCCGGUCGAAAUGUAUGGGAAAACAUAUGGUAAGGCCUGCCUUACCGUGCUCUAACUCACAUUUCAACCCUUCCGGAACCGGAAGAGAAAAGAAAGAAAAACAGGUCACAUGACCCGGCAUAUAAAUACCUCAAUCCCCGGUGCCUAAUCGGCUUUUUCUUCGUGCUCACUCACGCGUGUACACUCGUAAGGUAAGUUUUGUGAACUUUUUAAGCC
This is a non-coding RNA of Paramuricea clavata, 271 nucleotides long. NCBI's taxonomy places the organism in Eukaryota, Metazoa, Cnidaria, Anthozoa, Malacalcyonacea, Plexauridae. The record is from the annotation of a GenBank genome assembly.